UUUUUCCCUCAUCAAGGUUUUAUCCCAAUGGGUUUUACUUGGUGAAGUUUUUAAUAAGGGAGGUCUUCAUGGUUUCCAAGCUUGACUUGUUCUACAUGGUCAAGCUUGAGGGGGAGUAUUGAGAUGAAGACCAAGGAGAGACAGUAACUUUAGAGUUUUACUGUGGUAACUUUAUUUUAACCACAGUAACUACUUGGGAAGUUAUCUGAUGAGAUGAGAAGGUAACUUAGUGAAGAGAAGAAGGUAAACUCGACCAAAGAGGAUAAGGAAGGAUAA
Molecule: long non-coding RNA, 276 nt
Filed under: Brassica napus (rape)
Lineage: Eukaryota; Viridiplantae; Streptophyta; Magnoliopsida; Brassicales; Brassicaceae
Description: long non-coding RNA (BNAP_LNC001654)
Source: RNAcentral